GCGGGUGUAGUUUAGUGGUAAAACCUCAGCCUUCCAAGCUGAUGGGUUCGAUUCCCUUCACCCGCUCCA
This 69-nucleotide transfer RNA is filed under the name Peribacillus butanolivorans. Its description in RNAcentral is "Bacillus butanolivorans tRNA-Gly". It matches the Rfam family "tRNA". Rfam says of the family: Transfer RNA (tRNA) molecules are approximately 80 nucleotides in length. Their secondary structure includes four short double-helical elements and three loops (D, anti-codon, and T loops). Lineage: Bacteria; Bacillati; Bacillota; Bacilli; Caryophanales; Bacillaceae. The record is from RNAcentral.